AAUGUAAAACGGAACCGAACCGAUUAAAUUUUAAAACUUAACCGAUUGAAUCGAAUUGACUCUGUUCGGUUUGGUUUUUCGGUUUGAACCGAAAUCUGCUCACCCCUAACAGUGAGGAAGAUAGUGAACCAAACCUAUCCUGAAGAUGUAGAAGCCUCUAGGAGAAUGUUGUGACAUUCAAAAAAGCUAAGGGGAUAAAAAAAGAAUUAAUGGAAAAAUUGAAACACUCACACACACACAGUGAGGGAGAAGAAACAGAUCAAAUUGCUAGUUAUUCUCUGUGCAUGGAGGAUACACCAGAACUAUAUAACUGAAAGUUACAUGAUUAUCACAGUAAAAUACAGGUCUUGAUCAACUAGUACUUUUCAUCCUUUAUCCAUAUUCAUAUUUGCCCAAGUUUUUGAUUUCUCAUCCUCAACACUUGCACUUGUGAAGCAUUCUGGGUCUCCAGUUAAGGAAUGAACUUCAACAACUUCUAGAUGAUGAUGAUAACAUGGCAGACCUCUACUUAUCAAGAAAAUUAGUUGGCUCAUCUUCACCUGUCAGUGGCUCUGGUGCUCCCAAUUGGUUUCUUAACUCUCUUACCAUAGGUUCAAAGAUAUCCAGAACAAGUACAGCCAGUGCAACAACAACACAAGGGGAGAAUGAUAUUGAAGACCAUGAAAUGUUGCUUGAGGUCGUAAAAGCUAUCUAAAUGCCGUAUUGCCCUGUGUAAUUCACAUGAAAAUUCAAAGUUUGAAAUGGAUUUUCUUCACAGGCUUACUUCAUGCAGAUUGAUGGCACAUUGAACAAAUUGACUAUGCUAGGUUACCAUAUGCCUCUUUUGCAGAUUAAUUUUCGUUCUUAUAAGGCCUAUUUCAUAUAUAAUGAAGCAGGAAAUGUUGCAUUUAGAACCUAAAUUACAUGGGAUUUUGCUUAACUGGCUUCUUAGAAAGUUCAUCUAGAAUAUUACUGCUUAAGGAUGAUUGUUCUGAUGCCUGAGUUAAUCCUUGUCUUCCCUGCUGCGUGAAUAGAGAGAGUCAUCCCUGAAGGAGGUUUUUGAAAGUUCAGGCUGUCUCAUGUUUCUGUCAAUUGAACUUGAACUUUCUGCUAGUUAAAUUAUCAAAAUCCUCCACUCCAGGGCAUUUUAGCAUUCUAAAAAUUUGUAUUGUUGUUUCCUUGUUGCAGCUCAAUAAUCAUCGGCAUCAACUCAUACAGGUGGUCAUCCUCACAAGCAUAAUUUGUGCAAGACUUUUCGCAUCUAGAUAUAAUUUCAUAUGCUCGGCACAAAGAUCUUGUCUUGUCUUGAAUGGAUGUACAUGUGUAUAAAACCAGCCAGAAGGAGAUAUAGAUCAUAAAUCUUGUAAUAUUACUCCCAAGUUCUUUACAUUGGUGGCUUUGGGAACGUGUUCAAGGACUUGAUCAUCAAUUCAUGUGCCAAAACCAAAUAAGUAGAAAGCUUAGGCAUUGAAUUUAAUUAGAAAGUGGGUGCCACAGGCAUUAAUUUGUUAGCUAGCAGCAUGGGUUAAUAAAAGCAUAGUGAGAUGGGGCUUUAGGUGUGACCAUGGGAAGGUGAGAUUGAAUUGAUGAAGUGUGUCCCAGUGCAUUUGACAUUAACAACUAAUGUGGCCUACUGCUGGGGCCGAUUGAAUUAGCUUCCAUUUGUUAGAAGCACCUCUGAAAAGGAGAAGCACGCGGUCAUUGAUUGCUAGCAUCUCAUCUGAUCAUCUCUGAAGCAUUUUUUUCAACAAUUUGGAUCAUUUUCUUGUUCCCCAUUUUCCCUAUAAAGCAACUCAUUUUGGUCCCAAAUGACUACUUUGGUGGGUUCAUGCAAAUAAUUAAUUUUUUUUAAGUAUAGAACAAUUAUCAAUUAUUUUGUC
Molecule: long non-coding RNA, 1859 nt
Organism: Hevea brasiliensis (rubber tree)
Lineage: Eukaryota; Viridiplantae; Streptophyta; Magnoliopsida; Malpighiales; Euphorbiaceae
Exons: 2
Source: RefSeq, a predicted model, not a curated record